AUUGAACGCUGGCGGCAUGCCUUACACAUGCAAGUCGAACGGCAGCGGACCUUCGGGUGCCGGCGAGUGGCGAACGGGUGAGUAAUAUAUCGGAACGUACCUUUCAGUGGGGGGUAACGUAGCGAAAGUUACGCUAAUACCGCAUAUUCUGUGAGCAGGAAAGCAGGGGAUCGCAAGACCUUGCGCUGAUUGAGCGGCCGAUAUCAGAUUAGCUAGUUGGUGAGGUAAAGGCUCACCAAGGCGACGAUCUGUAGCGGGUCUGAGAGGAUGAUCCGCCACACUGGAACUGAGACACGGUCCAGACUCCUACGGGAGGCAGCAGUGGGGAAUUUUGGACAAUGGGCGCAAGCCUGAUCCAGCCAUGCCGCGUGAGUGAAGAAGGCCUCGGUU
Molecule: ribosomal RNA, 390 nt
Filed under: uncultured bacterium
Lineage: Bacteria
Description: bacterial SSU rRNA
Rfam family: Bacterial small subunit ribosomal RNA
Source: RNAcentral